Long non-coding RNA from Lolium rigidum, 958 nucleotides. RefSeq lists it as uncharacterized. The transcript is spliced from 2 exons. NCBI's taxonomy places the organism in Eukaryota, Viridiplantae, Streptophyta, Magnoliopsida, Poales, Poaceae. The record is from RefSeq and is a predicted model, not a curated record.
GUGGCUGUCGCCCGUCGGAGCUAGGCGAGAAAGGAGCAGGCGGCGGCGGCUCAACUUCACAUCCCGGUAAGGUUGUCCUCCUCCUGUAGAUGCAUUUGUUCUUGAUGUCACUGGGGAAAUUGAAAUAUGUUUCUCGCUAUGGUCCUUGCCAGGUACCUGACUAUAGAAUAUGAACAUACCAUAGUCAAUGCAUACCCAUUAUUAUUUUUGGUCUAAGAUUUUCGUUUUGUUCUACUUUCCAACACUAGGAUUUAAUGUUGAGCGUAUCUGGGAGAUACAAGCUCAUGAAACUGUAGAGUUAUGGACAAUAAAUUGUUCUCACGUUUCAGGCGAAGGCACUGCGUCCUUUGGUUGGAUGUAAGAUUCACUUCAUACUUUGUCUUGAACUUCAAUUACUGAAGCUUUGUGCCAUUUUCUUGUUUGGCAGUGGCGGCCAUUUGUUUGAUUACUCAAGUGCGGUUGUGGCAUUUCCAUUGUUAGGAUAAAUGGAAUUCUGGUGCUAGGAUAAAUGGACUGGUUGGUUUCCUCUAAGAUGGAUAUUUUGCAGCCACAAGCCAGAGAAAAAGGUGGUAAAUGUUGGCACAAAAUGAAGGUCAUGUGAUUGCUAAGGAUCCGUCCGAACCACACGAAGAUUCAUGGAGAGUUGUUGCCCCUUCAGGCGACCUGAUGUUGGGCCGAGAGCCUUGGACGAAGAUAGGUCAUCGCCAUGAACGAGUCAACAUGUGUCUUUGCUAGAGUGGGUGGACCGUGUUCUUAGUGACAUCUAUUUCACUUUUUUACUUAUCAAAAGGAUUGAACGAUUAAAAGCCUUUUAUCUAUGUUGAUAAAUUUAUUCUCUUAUAAAUUUUCGUGUUUAUUCGGUACAUUUGUAACAAACCAUGGUGUUCAAAAUAUUUGUACCUCGUGAUGUGUCUGCAGAAGAUGCGAGUUGAUAUGCACAUUCUUAUGCCUUUUAUCU